This 70-nucleotide transfer RNA is filed under the name Dipodomys ordii (Ord's kangaroo rat). It matches the Rfam family "tRNA". From Rfam's summary of the family: Transfer RNA (tRNA) molecules are approximately 80 nucleotides in length. Their secondary structure includes four short double-helical elements and three loops (D, anti-codon, and T loops). The record is from Rfam by way of RNAcentral. Lineage: Eukaryota; Metazoa; Chordata; Mammalia; Rodentia; Heteromyidae.
GGGAAUGUAGCUCAGUGGUGGAGCAUUUGCCUUGCAACCAUGAGGCCCUGGGUUCAAUUCCUCGGCACCA